AGUGAACGCUGGCGGUAGGCCUAACACAUGCAAGUCGAACGGCAGCACAGUAAGAGCUUGCUCUUACGGGUGGCGAGUGGCGGACGGGUGAGGAAUACAUCGGAAUCUACUUUUUCGUGGGGGAUAACGUAGGGAAACUUACGCUAAUACCGCAUACGACCUACGGGUGAAAGCAGGGGAUCUUCGGACCUUGCGCGAUUGAACGAGCCGAUGUCGGAUUAGCUAGUUGGCGGGGUAAAGGCCCACCAAGGCGACGAUCCGUAGCUGGUCUGAGAGGAUGAUCAGCCACACUGGAACUGAGACACGGUCCAGACUCUUACGGGAGGCAGCAGUGGGGAAUAUUGGACAAGGGGCGAAAGCCUGAUCCAGCCAUACCGCGUGGGUGAAGAAGGCUUUCGGGUUGUAAAGCCCUUUUGUUGGGAAAGAAAAGAAGCAGGUUAAUACCCCGCUGUUCUGAGGGGACCAAAAGAAUAAGCACCGGUUAACUUCGU
This 491-nucleotide ribosomal RNA is filed under the name uncultured bacterium. RNAcentral's name for it is "partial 16S ribosomal RNA". It matches the Rfam family "Bacterial small subunit ribosomal RNA", at positions 29 to 506 of the family's 1533-position model. The record is from RNAcentral.